RNAcentral lists this long non-coding RNA (4421 nucleotides) under Medicago truncatula (barrel medic). RNAcentral describes it as "lncRNA gene48922". Lineage: Eukaryota; Viridiplantae; Streptophyta; Magnoliopsida; Fabales; Fabaceae. The record is from RNAcentral.
UUUGUAAACUCCGGUGAAUCAUGUUUGGCAAUUGAAUAAAAAGUUAACUUUCCAAAUUCAGUAUAAAAUAGAACAUAAUUUUGCAAUAUCUCUUAAAUAGAAUCAGAAAAAUAAACAUAACAAAACUGUGACAAGACCUAAGAGUACAAUGCAGCAAUAAAAUUCCUAGAGUUUAAGCCCUCUUCUUGCUUGCUGCCAACUGGGUCUCCGGCUGGAAAAAUAUCAGAAUAAAAAUUUAAUUUAAAUAACCAAAAUCUUGCCGAAACAAUUAAAUAAGCAAUAAAUAUAAAGAGAAACAAAAGCACCAAUACCUCUUUCUGAACUGCCUCUUCCUUUUCGGAUAAAAUCAACUCAAUGUGGCAAGGAGAUGACAUGUAAGCUGCAACAAAAAAAAAAAAGACAUCAAUAAAAACACACUUCCAAAAAAAAAAAAGACCAAAUAUAAUCAAUUAAAACGAAUCAUAAGAUUUGAAACAUACGGUUGAUUCUUCCAUGGGCUCUGUAUGUUCUGCGUCUUUGCUUCUGUGCUUGAUUGACUUGGAUAUGUGAAACAUAUAGAGCAUCAACAUCCAAACCUUUGACCUAGAAAGUAGUAAUUAACAUUCAAAUGAGCAUUAAAAAAAACAGGGCAAAUAAAUUUCAAUUUAAAAAAGCAAAUAAAAGAUUCAGAACUUACUUCAGCAUUACUCUCUGCAUUCUUCAGCAAAUCCAGGAUAAACUUUGCUGACUUGACUGGCCACCUUCCUUGUCCAUUUGAGUGUCUAUUCUUGGCUUGAGCUGUCCUCCCAACACCACGACAGAAACGUCUGAAUGGAAUGGCCUGUUUGUGUGCAAGAACGUCUUCCAAGUACCUUUUAGCCUUGGUCAAGGGCAACUUCCUGAUGGCAAAGGCAGUUUCCCUAGUGUUCUGCAAGUACAAUUUAAAAUGUUUAAUCCCACAUUCAUAAAAAAAUCAUAUCAAGGAUAAAAAUAAAAGUAGCAGUAGCUUAAUUGUAGGUUUCAAUCAUUAAUGAAACAUAAUUGGGAAAAAACAAACAUUUAAAGUAACCAAACAAUAAUUGUUUAAAGUUAUAAACAAUGAAACUAUGUCAAUCAAUGAUUGUUAUAUCCUUUAAUUUAAAAUACAAGUUGCAGAUAGAAGUUGAUCAUGCUUCUUGAAUGCAUAAAUACACAUACUAAUGAAAAACAUGUCUCAUCAUCUAAUGAAAAACAUAUCACUGACAUUUCCAAGAGGACUGCUCGAUAUAGAUAACAGACACCUGUUUUUUUUUUCAUCAGGAUAUUCUAUGACCUAUACGUCUUUUCCAUGUAAUAUUGAACUGGAAAAGGCAAACUCAAUUUUCCUAUGUAUUAAAUAAUCAAGUAAUAAUGAGGCAAAUCAAGCAACUAAGGUGGCUAAAUCAAUACAGACAUUAAAAAACAUAAGAGCAGACUAAACCAAUAAUUGAAUACAUGUCAACACAUAUCAAAAUGAAUCAAAUUUAAAAAUUAGAAAUCUAAAAUCUAAAAAAUUAUAACAAAUGUACUAAAUAUUCCAUCGUUUACUGAACCUUCAAUCACGUAUCACAAAGACAAGACAUAGGUUCACCCAAUAACAAUGAGUUUAUAUCCCUGAAUGUUACGGGUGGACGGCUCAUAUAGGAACCAGACCACUGCUUUUUUCAAUCAGGUUGUUGCAUGGCUAUAGGGUUAGUAAAAUUUAUUUUAAAAUGAAUGAAGAAGCAUAUGUACAAAAUGAUCAAUCGAUUACAGAACCUUAAAUCAUGAAAAGGGAGAGGUUCACCCAAAAAGAAUCAUGGUUAUUAUCUCAAGAGUCUACAGAAUGUUCUUGUAAAUUAUGGCCAAUACCGGGUAUAUAAGCAGUGAUUUCAAAUCCAGAGGUUAAGCGUACUCUGGCAACUUUACGUAAGGCAGAGUUUGGUUUUUUAGGGGUAAUAGUGGAAAAGUUGACAGAUAAGUCAUCCUUACUGCCACUCUACAGAACCGUACAUGAGAUUUUAACCUCAUACGGCUCCUCGUUCAAUUCUUUUAACAAGAGGGUCCAUUCACAAGACAACAAACCACUGCCUUUCUCAUCUAUAAACUAAAAAUUUAAAAAUAUGAAUUCCAUAAUCUAUAAUAAUAAAACAAAUGAACUGAAUAUUUCAUCGUUUACUGAACCUUCAGUCACAUAUCACAAAGACAAGACAGAGGUUCACCCAAUAACAAUGGGUUUUAUAUCCCUGAAGGUUACGGGUGGACUGCUCAUAUAGGAACCAAACCACUGCUUUUUCUCAAUCAGGUUGUUGCAUGAAACCAAAUAUAUCAAUUAUUAAUUAAAAUGAUAUACACACACACACACACACACAAUAUUCCAUUUACGAAACCUAUAAUCAUAAAAAGGGAAUGAAGGUUCACAUAAAAAUCAUGGGCAUUAUCUCCCUGAAUUUAACGAGGUACAUUCACAAGACAAAAAACAACAGCUUUUUUCAUCUAUAAUUUAUAAAUUUAAAAAUUAGAAAUCUAUAAUCUAUAAUAAUAAAACAAAUGAACUGAAUAUUCCAUCGUUUACUGAACCUUCAGUCACGUAUCACAAAGACAAGACAUAGGUUCACCCAAUAACAAUGGGUUUUAUAUCCCUGAAGGUUACGGGUGGACUGCUCAUAUAGGAACCAAACCACUGCUUUUUCUCAAUCAGGUUGUUGCAUGAAACCAAAUAUAUCAAUUAUUAAUUAAAAUGAUAUACAGACACACACACACACACACAAUAUUCCAUUUACGAAACCUAUAAUCAUAAAAAGGGAAUGAAGGUUCACAUAAAAAUCAAGGGCAUUAUCUCCCUGAAUUUAACGAGGUACAUUCACAAGACAAAAAACACCAGCUUUUUUCAUCUAUAAUCUAUAAAUUUAAAAAUUAGAAAUCUAUAAUCUAUAAUAAUAAAACAAAUGAACUGAGUAUUCCAUCAUUUACUGAACCUUCAGUCACGUAUCACAAAGACAAGACAUAGGUUCACCCAAUAACAAUGGGUUUUAUAUCCCUGAAGGUUACGGGUGGACUGCUCAUAUAGGAACCAGACCACUGCUUUUAUCAAUCAGGUUGUUGCAUGACUCCAAAUAUAUCAAUUAACUUCAUAAUGGAUUAAUUGAAAUGAACAACAUAUGUACAAAAUGUACCCUCAUUAAGUGAACCUUAAAUCAUUACAUGGGAGUUGAGGUUCUUCCAAAAACCAUGGAUAUUAUCACUCUGAUUUUAACGACAGGUUUAUUCACAAAAUAACAGGCAACUGCUUUUUCAUCGGGUUAUCUAUCAGGUUAUCCAAACUACUGUUCUAAUAGAUGGGUUUUCUCUAUAUUUUAACUGGAAGAAAAUAAAUUCAUGAUGCAAUCAAAAACUCUAAACUGUAAGUUAAACAAUAAAAAUGUUAUUUGAAUCACAAACUGGAUAGCCUCUGUAUUAUAUAAACAACAAAACAAAGUGAAUACAGUAUGAAUAAAAUUAUCAUUUUAAAAAUUCAAGUGUUCACUAUAUCUAUAGUGCGAAGAAAACAUGUUCAGACUGUAACUUUUCUAUGUAAUGGGGUAAAAAAGAAUGUAUGCACAACACAAAUAACAUACCCCAACUUUUUUCCUUCAGAAUUUUCAAACUACAUUUCUUAAUAACAGUAGAUAAGCACAAAAGACAAUUUAAUUUCAAUCAAAAAUAACAUUUAAAGCCCAACAAAUUUGACACUGACUAGGGCCAUUUGGGGGUCCUUAUCUAUUACCUUAUGAAAAGAAGAAAAAAAAAAACUUAUGCAGGUAAAUAAGCAUUUAUGUUAAUUGAUUAGUUCAUUCGAAAAUUGUAUAGAAGUUUCUUUUUUCAUACACUACCUUGUUUUUAGCUUUUGCAUAAGCUAAAAAAAAUAAAAAAUAAAAAAUAAAAAAACUAAUCCAAAAGGGGCCCUUAAAACAGUUUGUACCAUCAAAGAAAUUCAUAAGUCAUAAGUUCAAAAGUGAAUUACAAUGCAUCAUCAAUAAACAAAAAAUAAGUAUUUGGUAACACAAAUUGAACUGGAGCAACAAACAACUAAUUAAUCAAAUUAGAAAAGUAAUCUAAAAAUAACAAAAGUAAUUUGUUACCUUGAAAUGAACUCUGAGGUCAGCACCACGAGCCUUGGUAGCUGCAUAUAAAAAAUUAUUUGAAAAAGUAAGAUAAGAUCUCAACUAAUUCAUCCCAAAAAACCAAUUAUGCUUAAAACACAAUAAAAUAAAAUAAAAUUACACAGGUUACUUACACUUGGUAGGGUUAUCAGGCUCUUUUGAGUACUUAACCUAAAAAUUCGAAAAACAAACAACAGAGAAGAGAGUUAGAGAAAUGAAUCAUAGAUCUGAAACAAAUCAAUGAGAACCGAAAAUGUGAGGGAUUCUAAGCUUACCAUGACGACGGCGUUUGAUGGAACCUGC